Molecule: ribosomal RNA, 497 nt
Filed under: uncultured bacterium
Lineage: Bacteria
Description: partial 16S ribosomal RNA
Rfam family: Bacterial small subunit ribosomal RNA
Source: RNAcentral
GAUGAACGCUGGCGGCGUGCCUAAUACAUGCAAGUCGAGCGAACAGAUGAGGAGCUUGCUCCUCUGACGUUAGCGGCGGACGGGUGAGUAACACGUGGAUAACCUACCUAUAAGACUGGGAUAACUUCGGGAAACCGGAGCUAAUACCGGAUAAUAUAUUGAACCGCAUGGUUCAAUAGUGAAAGACGGUUUUGCUGUCACUUAUAGAUGGAUCCGCGCCGCAUUAGCUAGUUGGUAAGGUAACGGCUUACCAAGGCAACGAUGCGUAGCCGACCUGAGAGGGGGAUCGGCCACACUGGAACUGAGACACGGUCCAGACUCCUACGGGAGGCAGCAGUAGGGAAUCUUCCGCAAUGGGCGAAAGCCUGACGGAGCAACGCCGCGUGAGUGAUGAAGGUCUUCGGAUCGUAAAACUCUGUUAUUAGGGAAGAGCAAAUGUGUAAGUAACUAUGCACGUCUUGACGGUACCUAAUCAGAAAGCCACGGCUAACUACGUG